Molecule: ribosomal RNA, 406 nt
Filed under: uncultured bacterium
Lineage: Bacteria
Description: partial 16S ribosomal RNA
Rfam family: Bacterial small subunit ribosomal RNA
Source: RNAcentral
AUUGAACGCUGGCGGCAGGCCUAACACAUGCAAGUCGAACGAGUGGCGGACGGGUGAGUAAUGUCUGGGAAACUGCCUGAUGGAGGGGGAUAACUACUGGAAACGGUAGCUAAUACCGCAUACCAUCGGAUGUGCCCAGAUGGGAUUAGCUAGUGGUUGGGGUAAAGGCUCACCUAGGCGACGAUCCCUAGCUGGUCUGAGAGGAUGACCAGCCAAACGGGAACUGAGACAAGGUCCAGAAUCCUACGGGAGGCAGCAGUGGGGAAUAGUGCACAAUGGGCGCAAGCCUGAUGCAGCCAUGCCGCGUGUAUGAAGAAGGCCUUCGGGUUGUAAAGUACUUGCAGCGGGGAGGCGUUACCCGCAGAAGAAGCACCGGCUAACUCCGUGCCAGCAGCCGCGGUAAUUC